UUUGAUUUAAGAGCUCAAGGACGUAGAGAGAGCUUCAAAAACAAUACGUAAGUAGUGCAACAAUAGAGUAGCAUUCCCAGUUAAAAAAUAAUCGUAAUUUAAUUUUAUAUAAUAGAUGUUACUACUGCUAAUGUAAAAUCUUUUAUAAAAUUCUAAACUCGUGCUACAGAUUGUAACUUGAACACUAUAGAGAAACGCAACGAUUUUAAGUACCGAACAGUGUACAACACGAGCAUGAUUAGCAUUUCAAGGGCUUUGGAAGAUAUGAAAAAAAAAGAGCCGCGCAUAUUCAACUCGCAAACAAAAAUGCCUCUCAAUUCUCAUUCAUGAAGUUACAUUCAAGCGCGAGAAAACUUGAAAAUAGUUAACUUCACAAUAGUUUCUAUAAGCCUAAGAAGUUUUCUAUAAGAACCAAAAUCCUUUCAAACAUCAAAGAAAUGGGGCACUAGCCAAAUAAACAAAUGGAAAACUACCUGCUUGAGAGGAAAUGUUGGCGCUUGACUGUGCUGCGAGUGUCCAAGCUCGUACGCUAGAACCGCAAUGAUCUCAUAGGUUUUGCAGCCUCGACUUUCCUUAAGCUUUGCAUCUAUACCUUAUUUUCUUCGACGGUGUCUUCGCUGCAUGGAGCUAGACAAAUAAUGGCGGAUGAAGCGAUUGAGAAGUUCGUAAUUAAGUUAAGUAUGAUCUAGCAAGUAUGACUGAUUCUGGGUGCAGCAAGAGAAGCCUUAAUUGACAUAAUGCAUCACUGACUAGGUAAAAUGUUUUUUUUUGCGUCGUAUUUAAAUUAACACUUAAACCCUGUUUAACUUUGAAUUUACACGUUGAUCAGGCUUUUGCAUCAAAAUUUACUAUCACUUUCUACAUUUAUUUAUUUUUUAAAUUAUUUUUCAUAAUAAACUUCAGAUAUUUUAUAAGCAAUAUCUGAUUUGUAAUAAUCUUUUCUAAGUCCACGAAUGGUUUGCUACAAACCGUCCCCGCAAUCUUAGUCGGCAAACAUGUUACACAAUUAGCAUAUUAGACUCACCAUACACUUGCCAUAUAUACUUGUUAAUAUACUACGGGCAUCAAAAUUUAAUUUUUUAAAUAAACCCUACUCAGCCUUAGACUUGUCUGUCUUCUCGAUCGCCUUCUUCUAGGACUCAGCGACGAGGGUGUCGGACAAUACUAUCCACUUGAACUUGAAUUUGCACAGAUACGCAAUUCUGCGAGGCGGUCUAAGCAAACCCUUGACAAUGCAGAGCUUGUUUAGAGGGAAAUUGAUACUCGAAGCGAAUGCCUCUGUACGAUUCUUGAGAUGGCCCUUCGACGGCGGCCUGUACUUGUUGAUCAAUUUGCUCCGGAUGAUUGUCAGGAGUAGAUUAAUACCGACGUAUCCAUGAAGCGAUAAUAUAUUAAAAAGAACCAAGAGGCACACAUCCGCCGAUAAAAAAUGACAGUUUUCUUUCUACGUCAGCGAUGCUCUGAGCAAGACCACCGAUGAUCAGGACCGAUGUCGUCGACUAUAGUGAUGUCUGGGAACUCUUCUCUACUAUUUGUCGUGCCUGUUACUUGACUAGCGCCGUACAUUGCUGAAUGCAGCAAAUGUAAAAAAAAUUAAUUGGAAAAAAGUAUUAUAAUCGCUUUAUAGGCGAUACAAUUUUAAUGGGUACCGUUAUAUUAAAUGGAAAAAAUAGUCGCAUUUUGUA
Nasonia vitripennis (jewel wasp) is the source of this 1685-nucleotide long non-coding RNA. RefSeq lists it as uncharacterized. The record is from RefSeq and is a predicted model, not a curated record. NCBI's taxonomy places the organism in Eukaryota, Metazoa, Arthropoda, Insecta, Hymenoptera, Pteromalidae. The transcript has 2 exons.